RNAcentral lists this ribosomal RNA (301 nucleotides) under uncultured bacterium. RNAcentral describes it as "partial 16S ribosomal RNA". It matches the Rfam family "Bacterial small subunit ribosomal RNA", at positions 509 to 807 of the family's 1533-position model. The record is from RNAcentral.
CAGUCGCCGCGGUAAUACGUAGGGUGCAAGCGUUAAUCGGAAUUACUGGGCGUAAAGCGUGCACAGGCGGUUUGUUAAGACAGAUGUGAAAUCCCCGGGCUCAACCUGGGAACUGCAUUUGUGACUGGCAGGCUAGAGUAUGGCAGAGGGGGGUGGAAUUCCGCGUGUAGCAGUGAAAUGCGUAGAUAUGCGGAGGAACACCAGUGGCGAAGGCGACUACCUGGUCUGGCAUUGACGCUCAUGUGCGAAAGCGUGGGGAGCAAACAGGAUUAGAGACCCCUGUAGUCCCUGUCUCUUAUAC